Molecule: ribosomal RNA, 534 nt
Filed under: Crocidura obscurior
Lineage: Eukaryota; Metazoa; Chordata; Mammalia; Eulipotyphla; Soricidae
Description: partial 16S ribosomal RNA
Rfam family: Bacterial large subunit ribosomal RNA
Source: RNAcentral
CACCUCUAGCAUUACCAGUAUUAGAGGCACUGCCUGCCCAGUGACAUUAGUUUAACGGCCGCGGUAUCCUGACCGUGCAAAGGUAGCAUAAUCAUUUGUUCCUUAAUUAGGGACUUGUAUGAAUGGCCCCACGAGGGUUUAACUGUCUCUUACUUUUAAUCAGUGAAAUUGACCUUCCCGUGAAGAGGCGGGAAUACAAAAAUAAGACGAGAAGACCCUAUGGAGCUUAAAUUAAAGUGUCCAACAAAAUUCAAACUUAAUCCAACAGGAAUAAUAACAUUUUAACUGGACAACAAAUUUUGGUUGGGGUGACCUCGGAGUAUAACAAAACCUCCGAGCGAUUAUAACCAAGACUUACCCGUCAAGGUGUCAUAAUUUAUUGAUCCAAUCAUAUUGAUCAACGAAACAAGUUACCCUAGGGAUAACAGCGCAAUCCUAUUUAAGAGUCCAUAUCGACAAUAGGGUUUACGACCUCGAUGUUGGAUCAGGACCCCCAAAUGGUGCAGCAGCUAUUAAAGGUUCGUUUGUUCAACG